This 354-nucleotide unclassified non-coding RNA is filed under the name soil metagenome. RNAcentral's name for it is "partial contains 5.8S ribosomal RNA, internal transcribed spacer 2, and large subunit ribosomal RNA". The stretch from base 1 to 120 matches the Rfam family "5.8S ribosomal RNA", at positions 35 to 154 of the family's 154-position model. The record is from RNAcentral.
GAUGAAGAACGUAGCGAAACGCGAUAUGUAAUGUGAAUUGCAGAAUUCAGUGAAUCAUCGAAUCUUUGAACGCACAUGGCGCCUUCCAGUAUCCUGGGAGGCAUGCCUGUCCGAGCGUCGUUUCAACCCUCGAGCCCCCGUGGCCCGGCGUUGGGGAUCUGCCCAGGCAGUCCCCGAAAACCAGUGGCGGACCCGUUACAGGCCCUUCCCUUGCGUAGUAGCAUUCGCCUCGCAUCGGGAGCCGGCGGGCUUCCAGCCUCUAAACCCCCAUCAAGUCCGCCCCGGAGGCACCAAGGUUGACCUCGGAUCAGGUAGGAAUACCCGCUGAACUUAAGCAUAUCAAUAAGCGGAGGA